GACGAACGCUGGCGGCGUGCUUAACACAUGCAAGUCAUGGGGGCCCGCAAGGGCAACCGGCGAACGGGUGCGUAACACGUGAGCAACCUACCGAUUUGUGGGGGAUAGCCGGCCUAACGGCCGGGUAAUACCGCAUACGCUUGUAAGGCCACCUGGUCUAACAAGGAAAUCUUCGGAGCAGAUCGAGGGGCUCGCGGCCUAUCAGCUAGUUGGCGAGGUCACGGCUCACCAAGGCGACGACGGGUAGCUGGUCUGAGAGGAUGGCCAGCCACAUUGGGACUGAGAAACGGCCCAGACUCCUACGGGAGGCAGCAGUGGGGAAGUCUUGCGCAAUGGACGAAAGUCUGACGCAGCGACGCCGCGUGGGGA
RNAcentral lists this ribosomal RNA (369 nucleotides) under uncultured bacterium. Its description in RNAcentral is "bacterial SSU rRNA". It matches the Rfam family "Bacterial small subunit ribosomal RNA", at positions 28 to 407 of the family's 1533-position model. The record is from RNAcentral.